UGGCGGCAGGCUUAACACAUGCAAGUCGAGCGGUAGCAGAUCUAGCUUGCUAGAUGCUGACGAGCGGCGGACGGGUGAGUAACGCGUAGGAACCUGCCCAGUAGUGGGGGAUAGCCCGGGGGAAACUCGGAUCAAUACCGCAUACGCUCUACGGAGGAAAGAGGGGCUUCGGCUCUCGCUAUUGGAUGGGCCUGCGUGAGAUUAGCUAGUUGGUGAGGUAAUGGCUCACCAAGGCGACGAUCUCUAGCUGGUCUGAGAGGAUGAUCAGCCACACUGGGACUGAGACACGGCCCAGACUCCUACGGGAGGCAGCAGUGGGGAAUAUUGCACAAUGGGCGCAAGCCUGAUGCAGCCAUGCCGCGUGUGUGAAGAAGGCUUUCGGGUUGUAAAGCACUUUCAGUGGGGAGGAAGGCCUCGUAGUUAAUAGCUGCGAGGGUUGACGUUACCCACAGAAGAAGCACCGGCUAACUCCGUG
This 475-nucleotide ribosomal RNA is filed under the name uncultured bacterium. RNAcentral's name for it is "bacterial SSU rRNA". It matches the Rfam family "Bacterial small subunit ribosomal RNA", at positions 37 to 507 of the family's 1533-position model. The record is from RNAcentral.